This 253-nucleotide ribosomal RNA is filed under the name uncultured bacterium. RNAcentral's name for it is "partial 16S ribosomal RNA". It matches the Rfam family "Bacterial small subunit ribosomal RNA", at positions 524 to 776 of the family's 1533-position model. The record is from RNAcentral.
GACAUAGGUGGCGAACGUUAUCCGGAAUUAUUGGGCGUAAAGGAUGCGUAGAUGGUAAAAUAAGUUAUUGGUCGAUGUUAAACUCAAUUUGACGGAAGCUGGUAAUACUAUUCUACUUGAGGAUAGAAGAGGUUGGCGGAACUCUAUGUGGAGGGGUGAAAUCCGUUGAUCUGUAGAGGACCACCAAAAAGGCGAAGGCAGCCAACUAUUCUACUCCUGACGUUGAGGCAUGAAAGCGUGGGUAGCAAACCGG